This 253-nucleotide ribosomal RNA is filed under the name uncultured bacterium. Its description in RNAcentral is "partial 16S ribosomal RNA". It matches the Rfam family "Bacterial small subunit ribosomal RNA", at positions 524 to 776 of the family's 1533-position model. The record is from RNAcentral.
UACGUAGGUGGCAAGCGUUGUCCGGAUUUAUUGGGUUUAAAGGGUGCGUAGGUGGUCUUGUAAGUCAGUGGUGAAAUCCGGCAGCUUAACUGUCGAUGUGCCAUUGAUACUGUGAGACUUGAGUACAGACGAGGUAGGCGGAAUUGACGGUGUAGCGGUGAAAUGCUUAGAUAUCGUCAAGAACACCGAUAGCGAAGGCAGCUUACUAGACUGUAACUGACACUGAUGCACGAAAGUGUGGGGAUCAAACAGG